This is an RNA transcript of Vespula pensylvanica (western yellowjacket), 1735 nucleotides long. RefSeq lists it as uncharacterized. Lineage: Eukaryota; Metazoa; Arthropoda; Insecta; Hymenoptera; Vespidae. The transcript has 4 exons. The record is from RefSeq and is a predicted model, not a curated record.
GAGGAGGAGGAGGAGGAGGAGGAGGAAGAGUGGGAGGGAAGGGGGAGGUGGAGGCUUGCACCACACGCACACGAAUACGCAAGACUUGCUUCGGAGGGACGACGAGGAGGAUGACGAAGAAACGGGGUGUAGUAGGGAGAGGGGGAGGUUGUCGAAGGGAGGGUGUCUCCCGCCACUGUACGCUCGCUUAUGUCUCCCUACCACUCGGUCGCUCGGUCACGCGGUUGCGCGCGCACGCGUUCGCGCGUACGAAGGGUGGGGAUAGAGGGAAACGUGCGGCCGACGAAGUUACUGCUGCGAAACGAAAGCACAGAAUCAUUACACCGCCAGACCUCGAGGAGAGUAGACGCGUUUGAAGUUACUCAGGCUCAGUCGAGAUCUCGUGCUUCCUCCAUCAACCCCAAUAGUGGACGACGAUCGUACGGAUACGAUAUUUCGUGUUUUUCGAAACCGUUUUUUUUUUCUACCGUAGUUCUCAUCGUAGUUCUCUACUGUAGAAAAAAAAAGAUGGCGAUACCAUUCAUGCAGCCGACCGAAGAGGACCAAGAACUAUCGAAUCAGCAACUGCAGAUCAUGAUGGCCCUCUACAUGGCACUUCAACAGGUCUUGCGGAGCAGAUCAUUUCGCCACUCAUCAAGAAACCGAAAGACAAUGGCCCCGAGUCUACUCGAAAGCGCAACGACAGCAAUCUACUAUACUACACAACGCAACACAACAACGUGCUCGAGCGUAACGCGUUCGGACCUGUUCGUGCUUGUUUUUUUCUUUUUUUUUUCUUUUCUUUUUCUUUUUUCUUUUUUUUUUACGUUCUCUCAGCUGUCCAAGGGCUCGAUGGGACACACCGAGUACCGAAUGGCGCACAUAUCAUUUUUUUUCCUCGACCCUCCGCCAACAACGGGCAACGAAUUAACAGAGACAAUGGCUCGCAUUAUACUUUGCCUCGGAGACAGACAGUUUACUUCGUUUUUGGCUCUCUCUUUCUCUCUCUCUCUCUCUCUCUCUCUCUUUGCUUUUAGCCGACAUAAAUUUCGUCUCGCUUCGUCUCGCGAGCUCGUUAAACGUUCUCUUUUUAUCUCACAAUUUUCGUCUUACAAUAAAUUAGAAAUAUUAAAACGAUCACGGAAGUCGCAAUAAUAAUUCUAAUUCAUUCAAAAGGAGAAUAAUGUAAUCAUCGAGAUGGAUUGAAACGAGGAAAUAUCAUAUUCUUUGCUUAUACAAUUAGAUAAAAAGGAAUCGAUUUAUUCAUAAAGAAAGAAAGAAAAUGAUUUAUAAUAAUGAUCUGGCGCUUGUAACCACGCGUCUUGUUAAUAAUAUCGCUACUCGUAAGAGUCGUAUUUUUGAUACGUAAUGAUAACAAGAAUAGAGAAGGAGGAAAUGGAUUUGAAAGAGGGAAAGAGUGGUUAAGAGAAAGACAGAAUGAACGGAAGGAGGAACGACGCAAUUGAAAUCGUAGCCUAUCUAUCGUGUAAUAUACGUCUCUCAUUGUCACGGAAAAGUGGCGAAUGUGAGUCGCGAUAAAAAGUAUUUGCGCUCGAGCGGCGCUUACGCCGACGCGUGUACACGCACACAUAUACAUAACUAUAUAUACGUAUACGUAAAAACAUAAGUAUACGUAUAGAUUCGUAUGCAUCGUGAAGGAGGAAGAGGAGGAGGAGGAGGAGGAGGACGGUGCAGUGGCCGAGCGUUGCAAGUAUUUUACGCUAGCAAGAGUAGGAGUAGUAACAGCAGUAGCAGC